This 809-nucleotide ribosomal RNA is filed under the name uncultured bacterium. Its description in RNAcentral is "bacterial SSU rRNA". It matches the Rfam family "Bacterial small subunit ribosomal RNA", at positions 97 to 913 of the family's 1533-position model. The record is from RNAcentral.
GGCGAACGGGUGAGUAACACGUAGGUUAUCUGCCCAUCAGACGGGGACAACGAUUGGAAACGAUCGCUAAUACCGGAUAGGACGAAAGUUUAAAGGUGCUUCGGCACCACUGAUGGAUGAGCCUGCGGCGCAUUAGCUAGUUGGUAGGGUAAAGGCCUACCAAGGCGACGAUGCGUAGCCGACCUGAGAGGGUGAACGGCCACACUGGGACUGAGACACGGCCCAGACUCCUACGGGAGGCAGCAGUAGGGAAUCUUCGGCAAUGGGCGAAAGCCUGACCGAGCAACGCCGCGUGAAUGAUGAAGGCCUUCGGGUUGUAAAAUUCUGUUAUAAGGGAAGAAUGGCUCUAGUAGGAAAUGGCUAGAGUGUGACGGUACCUUAUGAGAAAGCCACGGCUAACUACGUGCCAGCAGCCGCGGUAAUACGUAGGUGGCGAGCGUUAUCCGGAAUUAUUGGGCGUAAAGAGCGCGCAGGUGGUUGAUUAAGUCUGAUGUGAAAGCCCACGGCUUAACCGUGGAGGGUCAUUGGAAACUGGUCAACUUGAGUGCAGAAGAGGGAAGUGGAAUUCCAUGUGUAGCGGUGAAAUGCGUAGAGAUAUGGAGGAACACCAGUGGCGAAGGCGGCUUCCUGGUCUGUAACUGACACUGAGGCGCGAAAGCGUGGGGAGCAAACAGGAUUAGAUACCCUGGUAGUCCACGCCGUAAACGAUGAGUGCUAAGUGUUGGGGGUCGAACCUCAGUGCUGAAGUUAACGCAUUAAGCACUCCGCCUGGGGAGUACGGUCGCAAGACUGAAACUCAAAGGAAUUGA